GGACAUGAGGGUGAUCUGGCUGCAACAUGUCACUCCAUUGAUCACCAGGGUUGAUUUGGCUGAUCUGGCUGGCGAGGCAGGUGUCCCCUUCCUCCCUCUCUGUUCUAUGUGUGUCCCUCCUGAAGCUGCAUGCUUGGUCCAAGAGAGUGACCAUCCCUGAUAGAGGACGACCAUUCUUCCGUCAAGGGUUUAUGUACGAGUAGCUGCACUCCCUGCUAGAACUUCCAAACAAGCUCUCAAAGAUAAGAAAAAUGAAGUCCUCCCCAAGUGGGAAUGCUCUUUCUAAGGUAUGACUAUGAUUA
RNAcentral lists this small nuclear RNA (302 nucleotides) under Castor canadensis (American beaver). Its description in RNAcentral is "7SK RNA (ENSCCNG00000015521.1)". It matches the Rfam family "7SK RNA". From Rfam's summary of the family: 7SK was discovered as an abundant small nuclear RNA in the mid-70s but a possible function has only recently been suggested. Two independent studies have found that 7SK RNA binds the CDK9/cyclin T complex (known as elongation factor P-TEFb). Lineage: Eukaryota; Metazoa; Chordata; Mammalia; Rodentia; Castoridae. The record is from Rfam by way of RNAcentral.